UGUAAAGUGAUGAUAGGGUAAAGUAAACGUUAGGGCUUCUCAGGGAGGCAGUGUCAUGGACUGAAAGCGCUGCUAAAGUAACUGCCGUUGAAGGUUCACCCUUGAACUGCCUGACUGAAACCACUUAGGGCAAGUAGGUCAAGACGGAAACUUCCACCGUUAAAAGGAAGGGGGUAUAAGGAAUUUUAUUCCUGUACCUGCAUAAAGAGGGGUCUAGAUCAGGCUCAAUCAGGGUGGUACCGCGAAAAACACUUUUCGUCCCUUAG
This 266-nucleotide non-coding RNA is filed under the name Peptococcaceae bacterium. Its description in RNAcentral is "T-box sequence". It matches the Rfam family "T-box leader". Rfam says of the family: Uncharged tRNA acts as the effector for transcription antitermination of genes in the T-box leader family. T-boxes are found upstream of many aminoacyl-tRNA synthetase genes and some amino acid biosynthetic genes usually in Gram-positive bacteria. The record is from RNAcentral. Lineage: Bacteria; Bacillati; Bacillota; Clostridia; Eubacteriales; Peptococcaceae.